This 1758-nucleotide long non-coding RNA is filed under the name Homo sapiens (human). RNAcentral describes it as "novel transcript, sense intronic to FNBP1". The record is from RNAcentral. Lineage: Eukaryota; Metazoa; Chordata; Mammalia; Primates; Hominidae.
CUUUUUUUUUUUUUUUUUUUUUUUUUGAGACAGAGUCUCACUCUGUCACCUAGACUCAAGGGCAAUGAUACAAUCCUGGCUCACUACAACCUCUGCCUCCCGAGUUCAAGUAAUUCUUGUGCCUCAGCCUCCCCAGUAGCUGGGAUUACAGGUGCCUGCCACCACACCCGGCUAAUCUUUGUAUUUUUUUUUUUUUUUAGUAAAGACAGGUUUUCACCAUGUUGGCCAGGCUUGUCUCAAACUCUUGGGCUCAAGUGAUCCGCCCGCCUCAGCCUCCCAAAGUGCUGGGAUUACAGGGUGAGCCACCGUGCCAGGCCCAAAUUUCUUUUGGAUACUUUUGCUGGCAUAGUAUCAAUAAAGCCACCCAUCCCGACCCCAGGCCUCUUUGUAGAUAUUGCAGCAAGAAAAUCAGCUGACCCUUCAACCACAAGGAUCUGUUUAAAUGAGCAGUAGGAAGUUUCCAGCUUUACCCAGUAAACAAGUGAAUGGGAAACCUAAGGUAUUAAAAUCUGACCUUUCUAUCCGAUGACAAACUCAUUUCCAGUCUGUGAACUCCUGGACAAAGCAAACUAACCACUGAAAAACUCGAAAAUAGGGCAAGACGACAUUAACCUUGUGAAAGUCUGCUUUGAAAAAAGGCAUUCUGUCAAGCUGUGUAUUUUUUUCUUGAUUAUUCAAAUUUAUUUCGUUAUUCAAAUUUAAUUCAGAAAAUAGCUCAGUUGGUUUCAGGGGGAAUGGGGUGGGAGGGGUUUGGGCACAUAAAUUUAUGAUGAUAAUUUUAAAUGUACGAUCAUUAAGUUGUAUGCCUCAGUACUAUAACAGGUGAAUCUCUGUAAUAUUGACUAAACAGUUAAAAGAUAUUUUGUAAAUUUCAGGUCCAUCGCAUCAAUGCAUGAAAUAUUAGAAAACCAAAUUCCAAAGAAUCAGGAAUUUCCAUUUCCACCCAAAGUAUACUUUAUUAUCUUCUAGCAGUUGUCUGUUAAUAUAAAAGCAGCAAAAUCUCAGCUACUUAUAUAAUUUUCUCCUUUUAUUUGAAAGUUACACUUAGAGAUUAAUAAUAUGUACAGAGAAGCUUUUCCUGCCUACUCUGUUUAUAACUCUGUCCAACUUGCCCACAAACACUGCCCUCCUUCAACCCAUCUGAUGUGGGCAAAGCCACUGUUUUCUUAGGCCCAUAACUCAGUGCAGCUGUUUUAUUUUUAUAAUGCCGGUCAACCUUUUUGUGUGUGUGUGUGUGUGUGUGUGUGUGUGUGUGUGUGUGUGUGUGUGUGUCUACGAUGUGCUUAUUUAAUAAUUGCCAAAAUAUUUAGACUAGAGUAACUUCCGGUGGGUCAAUUGGAUUGUGACUUUCUUUUGUGGUUUUUUGGUUCUUCGAUUGCUCUCUGUUAAAUAUUUUCAUAAUUCCCCCCACAGAAUACGUGUGUAUAUACUGCAACUUAAAAACUAAAAGCAGUACUCGAAUGAGUUGUUUUAAUGUUGUACUUUUAUCUGUUUGUUUUAUGGGUUCUCCUGCUGCCUAAUGACCUUUCUGUUUUUAUAACUGCCGGAAAGCCGCGAAGCCUCUCGCAUGGGGAGCUAGGUCCCCGCUGCGGCUCCGCACUUGAGUUUAUUAUAAACUCUGGGGUUCUGAGUAAGUUUUGUUUGAAUACAGCAACAUGAUUGUCUCUUUCUAUUCUUAUCCUAAAAGACUCUGUCUGGCAUCUUUUAGUUGUACCCUCGUAUCUGCUUCUCUAAUAAAUGUUAUAUUUUUUCUCAGUA